RNAcentral lists this ribosomal RNA (484 nucleotides) under uncultured bacterium. Its description in RNAcentral is "partial 16S ribosomal RNA". It matches the Rfam family "Bacterial small subunit ribosomal RNA", at positions 30 to 507 of the family's 1533-position model. The record is from RNAcentral.
AUUGAACGCUGGCGGCAGGCCUAACACAUGCAAGUCGAGCGGAUGAAGGGAGCUUGCUCCUGGAUUCAGCGGCGGACGGGUGAGUAAUGCCUAGGAAUCUGCCUGGUAGUGGGGGAUAACGUCCGGAAACGGGCGCUAAUACCGCAUACGUCCUGAGGGAGAAAGUGGGGGAUCUUCGGACCUCACGCUAUCAGAUGAGCCUAGGUCGGAUUAGCUAGUUGGUGGGGUAAAGGCCUACCAAGGCGACGAUCCGUAACUGGUCUGAGAGGAUGAUCAGUCACACUGGAACUGAGACACGGUCCAGACUCCUACGGGAGGCAGCAGUGGGGAAUAUUGGACAAUGGGCGAAAGCCUGAUCCAGCCAUGCCGCGCGUGUGAAGAAGGUCUUCGGAUUGUAAAGCACUUUAAGUUGGGAGGAAGGGCAGUAAGUUAAUACCUUGCUGUCUUGACGUUACCAACAGAAUAAGCACCGGCUAACUUCGUG